UACAGAGGUGGCAAGCGUUGUUCGGAAUUACUGGGCGUAAAGGGCGCGUAGGCGGUCUUGCAAGUCCUGUGUGAAAUCCCUCGGCUCAACUGAGGAACUGCACAGGAAACUGCUUGGCUUGAGUUCGGGAGAGGGAAGCGGAAUUCCGGGUGUAGCGGUGAAAUGCGUAGAUAUUCGGAGGAACACCAGUGGCGAAGGCGGCUCACUGGCUCGAUACUGACGCUGAGGUGCGAAAGCGUGGGGAGCAAACAGG
Molecule: ribosomal RNA, 253 nt
Filed under: uncultured bacterium
Lineage: Bacteria
Description: partial 16S ribosomal RNA
Rfam family: Bacterial small subunit ribosomal RNA
Source: RNAcentral